GAUGAACGCUGGCGGCGUGCCUAAUACAUGCAAGUCGAGCGAACAGACGAGGAGCUUGCUCCUCUGACGUUAGCGGCGGACGGGUGAGUAACACGUGGAUAACCUACCUAUAAGACUGGGAUAACUUCGGGAAACCGGAGCUAAUACCGGAUAAUAUAUUGAACCGCAUGGUUCAAUAGUGAAAGACGGUUUUGCUGUCACUUAUAGAUGGAUCCGCGCCGCAUUAGCUAGUUGGUACGGUAACGGCUUACCAAGGCGACGAUGCGUAGCCGACCUGAGAGGGUGAUCGGCCACACUGGAACUGAGACACGGUCCAGACUCCUACGGGAGGCAGCAGUAGGGAAUCUUCCGCAAUGGGCGAAAGCCUGACGGAGCAACGCCGCGUGAGUGAUGAAGGUCUUCGGAUCGUAAAACUCUGUUAGUAGGGAAGAACAAAUGUGUAAGUAACUAUGCACGUCUUGACGGUACCUAAUCAGAAAGCCACGGCUAACUACGUG
This 497-nucleotide ribosomal RNA is filed under the name uncultured bacterium. RNAcentral describes it as "partial 16S ribosomal RNA". It matches the Rfam family "Bacterial small subunit ribosomal RNA", at positions 28 to 507 of the family's 1533-position model. The record is from RNAcentral.